Molecule: long non-coding RNA, 1020 nt
Filed under: Gossypium barbadense (sea-island cotton)
Lineage: Eukaryota; Viridiplantae; Streptophyta; Magnoliopsida; Malvales; Malvaceae
Description: long non-coding RNA (GBAR_LNC006172)
Source: RNAcentral
UGGGCUUGUUGUUUUGGUUUGUUUUAUUUUGGUUUGUGGUUAUGUUUGGACCCUUUGGUUUUGCUUCGGAUUUGCAAUAAAUGAAUAGCCCAGUUUCAAGCAUUUCAAUUCAGUCUCCUUGUUCCUCAAACAAGUAAGCAUUGAACUCUCUUUUAUUAGUUUUCACUUUCUAUAAUCUUUUUCGUAACUGUAAAUUGCCUUUACUAUGUUUCAAUGUUUUGUUUUGCUCUUUCCCCCCUUAAUGUUUGUUUCAAAACUCUAAUUCCUCUUCGUGAUUGGUAAAACAUUCAAGUAAAGAAAUACAAAUCACAACCAAUUGAAUCUCUUUCUAAUACCAAGACAAAGUAAAAUACCAGUAAAAACCUGAAAACUCGGUUCAAUCAGUUGGUUAUACAACGAUCCUUAAAAGGUGACCUGGUAACAAGACGGAUUCAAACCUUGGCAUGGAUGAUCUUUUUCCCUUAUCCCAGUAACAGAUGAAACAAGGGUCGUGAGGAAAGAGCUAGAGAGACGCACAGAGCUCAGAAGUAAACCUUGUUGAUAUUGUUGUUUGCAGGUGUCUCAUAAUGAGAUACGGUAACAGCCAAUCUGGAGCCAUCAGAUAGCUGAAAAACCGAUUGGAUCUUGCUGCAGGUGUGGAACGGAUCACUCUAGUUAGGAUCUACAAGGAUAUAGGAAGAUAAUAUGCUUGUAUAUAAACUGUAGUAAACAAAGUGUAAAUUACCCUUUGCCGUAUGUCAGUUCUCCGAACAAUACUGCACGCUUAUUAUCUUUCAAUGCACCAGUUAAAAUUUCACUUGCACUUGCAGUAUCCAUGUUCACCUAAUGGAAAUUCGGGUAACGGAAACCAUGAUCUGACAUACAGAAAUAGAUUUGACAUUGUAACAGUAAGAAAUGAAGUCCUUUUGUUUAAACCGAGCUUACCAGUACAGCUAGGGGUUCUGAAGCUGCAAUUGCUGAGCUUCCAUCCGUGUCGUAUAUAUCUCGAACUCCAUGAUUAUCACAAAUAUACACAAUCAC